This 253-nucleotide ribosomal RNA is filed under the name uncultured bacterium. RNAcentral describes it as "partial 16S ribosomal RNA". It matches the Rfam family "Bacterial small subunit ribosomal RNA", at positions 524 to 776 of the family's 1533-position model. The record is from RNAcentral.
CACGUAGGGUGCGAGCGUUGUCCGGAAUUACUGGGCGUAAAGAGUUCGUAGGCGGUUUGUCGCGUCGUUCGUGAAAACUUGGGGCUUAACUCCAAGCGUGCGGGCGAUACGGGCAGACUAGAGUGCGGUAGGGGAGAUUGGAAUUCCUGGUGUAGCGGUGGAAUGCGCAGAUAUCGGAAGGAACGCCGGUGGCGAAAGCGACGUGCUGGACCUCUUCUGACGCUGAGGCGCGAAAGCUAGGGGAGCAAACGGG